RNAcentral lists this ribosomal RNA (407 nucleotides) under uncultured Jatrophihabitans sp. RNAcentral describes it as "bacterial SSU rRNA". It matches the Rfam family "Bacterial small subunit ribosomal RNA", at positions 355 to 774 of the family's 1533-position model. Lineage: Bacteria; Bacillati; Actinomycetota; Actinomycetes; Jatrophihabitantales; Jatrophihabitantaceae. The record is from RNAcentral.
UGGGGAAUAUUGCGCAAUGGGCGAAAGCCUGACGCAGCGACGCCGCGUGAGGGACGAAGGCCUUCGGGUUGUAAACCUCUUUCAGCAGGGACGAAGCGAAAGUGACGGUACCUGCAGAAGAAGCACCGGCCAACUACGUGCCAGCAGCCGCGGUAAUACGUAGGGUGCAAGCGUUGUCCGGAAUUAUUGGGCGUAAAGAGCUCGUAGGCGGUUUGUCGCGUCGGCUGUGAAAACCCGGGGCUCAACCCCGGGCCUGCAGUCGAUACGGGCAAACUAGAGUGUGGUAGGGGAGACUGGAAUUCCUGGUGUAGCGGUGAAAUGCGCAGAUAUCAGGAGGAACACCGGUGGCGAAGGCGGGUCUCUGGGCCAUAACUGACGCUGAGGAGCGAAAGCGUGGGGAGCGAACA